Molecule: small nuclear RNA, 104 nt
Filed under: Chinchilla lanigera (long-tailed chinchilla)
Lineage: Eukaryota; Metazoa; Chordata; Mammalia; Rodentia; Chinchillidae
Source: RNAcentral
GCGCCCGCUUUAGCAGCACAAAUACUAAAACUGGAAGGACACAGAAAAUUGGCAUGGGCCUGCACAAGGAUGACGUACAAACCCGUGAAGCAUUCCAUAUUGCA